RNAcentral lists this small nuclear RNA (107 nucleotides) under Octopus vulgaris (common octopus). RNAcentral also lists the same sequence under 1 other name. The record is from RNAcentral. Lineage: Eukaryota; Metazoa; Mollusca; Cephalopoda; Octopoda; Octopodidae.
GUACUAGCUACGGUGGUACAUAUUCUAAAGUUGGAACGAUACAGAGAAGAUUAACAUGGUUCCUGUGCAAGGAUGACACGCAAAUUCGUGAAGCGUUCCAUAUUCUG